This 50-nucleotide non-coding RNA is filed under the name Marinomonas mediterranea MMB-1. Lineage: Bacteria; Pseudomonadati; Pseudomonadota; Gammaproteobacteria; Oceanospirillales; Oceanospirillaceae. The record is from RNAcentral.
ACGAGGAGUAGAAGCUGGCAGGUGGGUCACACUAGGUCAUUGCUCCAUUC